Sinocyclocheilus anshuiensis is the source of this 276-nucleotide long non-coding RNA. RefSeq lists it as uncharacterized. The transcript is spliced from 4 exons. The record is from RefSeq and is a predicted model, not a curated record. NCBI's taxonomy places the organism in Eukaryota, Metazoa, Chordata, Actinopteri, Cypriniformes, Cyprinidae.
CAGGAAGUGACAACAUUUUGGAGGGAAAGCACCAGCACAAACAUCUAUUCCUCCCCCAAAAUCAAGUUCAAUUAGGACUUCGAAGUGCACCAAACACUGGUAUGCCGAUGGGUCUUUUGCACUGCAUGAUGAAAAUCCUUUACGAGGAAUCUGCCACAUCGUCACAUAGUGGGAGUGGAAUAUUUGUCUUACACCAGCCUAAAGAUUUAGACCUGGACAUGUGUGUGGACUAUUGCUUUGUUCCAAAACCUGAUGAGCUGCCCACGUACGUACACA